AGAUUUGGACCAUAAUGUGUGUGCGCGUAUGUAACGAACCGUAAUGAAAGUGCUACCAUUACAACAAGAACAACAACAACAACAACAACAACAACAACGACUACUACUACCACGGCAACCCACAGGAAAUAAGGUAACGAAACGGGCACACUAUACACCACUGAGAACGAGGAGGAGAAACGGGAGGAGAACGGAAUGAGAGGAUAAGAGGGCAGAGAAGGACAACAGCGACUGAACAUAAGCACAGGAAAAUGCUGUCCCAACAGAUAAGUAAACCAGUAAGCUCAGCCUCCCCAUACCUGACCCGCUUCCCUAAUUGCCCCAACACCUGCUUGCCUCAUGGCCGCCUCACCUGCGCCGCUCCAAGGGGAUCAUGAAGGAGUAGAAUGGCGCAAGGAUAGUUUUCUGGCGCAAUCACUUGAUCGACACUCGCGACAACCUUGAGUGCGAGGAGAGAGAGAGUCGCUCGAAGGGAGAGUUGAUUGUGUGCUGCUCCUCGUGAAUAUAUUUU
This is a long non-coding RNA of Eriocheir sinensis (Chinese mitten crab), 511 nucleotides long. RefSeq lists it as uncharacterized. NCBI's taxonomy places the organism in Eukaryota, Metazoa, Arthropoda, Malacostraca, Decapoda, Varunidae. The transcript has 4 exons. The record is from RefSeq and is a predicted model, not a curated record.